Molecule: long non-coding RNA, 200 nt
Filed under: Volvox carteri
Lineage: Eukaryota; Viridiplantae; Chlorophyta; Chlorophyceae; Chlamydomonadales; Volvocaceae
Description: long non-coding RNA (VCAR_LNC001447)
Source: RNAcentral
GAUGUUCUAUGCAUAUCGUUUGAACCUACACUGUUUUAAGGGGACACCCUGACCGCUGGCAGAAACUCCCCGGGUUUACGUGCCUUUCAAGCAACUAAAGGAUGUAACUACAGUAGCCCAGACUACAGCAGCCCAGAUGUCCAUAAACAGAAGACUACACACCCGCUGCAUCCCGAAAGGAAAAGCUUGUGACAUAUAAG